This is a non-coding RNA of Cyanistes caeruleus (blue tit), 669 nucleotides long. NCBI's taxonomy places the organism in Eukaryota, Metazoa, Chordata, Aves, Passeriformes, Paridae. The record is from RefSeq and is a predicted model, not a curated record.
GUGUCUUAUCCUUGUCCCCUCCCCUUUCCAGCAUCCAACCCCUUCCCAUCGCCCCCCUCUGCUCUCUUGAGCGCCCCGGGGUGAGGAGCCACGGGCAGGGAUUGGGGAGGUGGGGAAAGGACAUGGCUGGGUGCUCCCAGAGCGGGGUGGGAGUCUGGGCACCCCCUCCCUGCUGCCCCCUCCAUCCUCCCCUCACCUGGGAGACGGGGCUGGAUCCCCAGGGGCUGAUCCCCGGGAAGGUGCUGAGGCUGGCCAUGGGGAUGCUGAUUCUCCUUUCAGGCCCCAGGUGAGGAGGAGGAGGAGGGAGGUCUGAGCCUCUUUCCUAUCCCAGCACUCCUGGAUCACCUGGAGCAAGGGGAAGCUCCAGAGCAUCUAAGAAGGAAAAUCAAGAUUUGCCAAAUCCAGGUCCUAGCAGGAAGAGGUGGUGACGGCUUCCCUGAUGUCUGGAGCUGCGUGCUGUCACCUGGAGCAGCAGGAGCCUGAUGCCACCCCAAGGCAAAGGAGGCACCUUCAUCAGCUCCACCAGAACCCCACCAGGGUGGGCUUCAACCCCUUAUCCCACCCAGCAUCUGCAGACCCCAGGACACAGCAGGCAGCCUCUCUUUAUCCUCAAAGCUGCCAGCUCAGGCUUAAAUUUCCUCUAUUUUACUAGAAAACUCGAUUCCUCGU